RNAcentral lists this ribosomal RNA (274 nucleotides) under uncultured bacterium. RNAcentral describes it as "partial 16S ribosomal RNA". It matches the Rfam family "Bacterial small subunit ribosomal RNA", at positions 523 to 796 of the family's 1533-position model. The record is from RNAcentral.
AUACGGAGGAUGCGAGCGUUAUCCGGAUUUAUUAGGUUUAAAGGGUGUGUAGGCGGUAUUUUAAGUCAGUGGUGAAAUCUCGGAGCUUAGCUUCGAAACUGCCAUUGAUACUGGAAUACUUGAGUAUAGUUGAGGUAGGCGGAAUAUGUAAUGUAGCGGUGAAAUGCAUAGAUAUUACAUAGAACACCGAUUGCGGAGGCAGCUUACUAAACUAUUACUGACGCUGAUGCACGAAAGCGUGGGGAGCGAACAGGAUUAGAAACCCGAGUAGUCC